This 315-nucleotide unclassified non-coding RNA is filed under the name Hevea brasiliensis (rubber tree). Lineage: Eukaryota; Viridiplantae; Streptophyta; Magnoliopsida; Malpighiales; Euphorbiaceae. The record is from RNAcentral.
UGGAAAAUGCUCCAGGGCAUAAGAGACACUUGCACCUCCAGUACUAUGACCAACCAAAAUAACCUUUUCAUCCUCAGAAACAUUUUCCAAAUAAUCAAGCAAAGGUUUGGAGUGGUCUUUCAAUGUUGUGACACUGUUUGUCUCUGUCAGAUCAAUACCAGAUCCUAUGAGAUCUAUGGCAGUGGGAAGCAAUCCUGCUUCUUCCAACAGGGCAAUUGUUUUGUACCAACACCAAGCUCCAAACCCUUCUCCAUGUAUCAGUAUGAACUUCUUUAACUUGAUAUUUUCCAGAAAGUCUGGCACCUGUUUUCCGUU